Molecule: transfer RNA, 74 nt
Filed under: Ricinus communis (castor bean)
Lineage: Eukaryota; Viridiplantae; Streptophyta; Magnoliopsida; Malpighiales; Euphorbiaceae
Rfam family: tRNA
About the family: Transfer RNA (tRNA) molecules are approximately 80 nucleotides in length. Their secondary structure includes four short double-helical elements and three loops (D, anti-codon, and T loops).
Source: Rfam by way of RNAcentral
GGCCUAUUAGCUCAGUUGGUUAGAGCGUCGUGCUAAUAACGCGAAGGUCGCAGGUUCGAGACUAGCAUGGGCCA